RNAcentral lists this transfer RNA (69 nucleotides) under Praomys minor (Least Praomys). RNAcentral's name for it is "tRNA-Pro". It matches the Rfam family "tRNA". Rfam says of the family: Transfer RNA (tRNA) molecules are approximately 80 nucleotides in length. Their secondary structure includes four short double-helical elements and three loops (D, anti-codon, and T loops). The record is from RNAcentral. Lineage: Eukaryota; Metazoa; Chordata; Mammalia; Rodentia; Muridae.
CAAGAAGUAGUUUAAUGAGAAUAUCAGCUUUGGGUGUUGAUGGUGGGGAUAUUUAUUCCUUCUUCUUGA